GACGAACGCUGGCGGCGUGCUUAACACAUGCAAGUCGAACGGAAAGGCCCCUUUGGGGGUACUCGAGUGGCGAACGGGUGAGUAACACGUGAGUAGCCUGCCCUUGACUUCGGGAUAACUUCAGGAAACUGGGGCUAAUACCGGAUAGGAAUCCUUGCUGCAUGGUGGGGGUUGGAAAGCUUCGGCGGUUUUGGAUGGACUCGCGGCUUAUCAGCUUGUUGGUGGGGUAGUGGCUUACCAAGGCUUUGACGGGUAGCCGGCCUGAGAGGGCGACCGGCCACAUUGGGACUGAGAUACGGCCCAGACUCCUACGGGAGGCAGCAGUGGGGAAUAUUGCACAAUGGGCGGAAGCCUGAUGCAGCAACGCCGCGUGCGGGAUGACGGCCUUCGGGUUGGAAACCGCUUUCAGCAGGGGCGAAGCUUGUGGUGACGGUACCUGCAGAAGAAGCACCGGCUAACUACGUG
RNAcentral lists this ribosomal RNA (465 nucleotides) under uncultured bacterium. RNAcentral describes it as "partial 16S ribosomal RNA". It matches the Rfam family "Bacterial small subunit ribosomal RNA", at positions 28 to 507 of the family's 1533-position model. The record is from RNAcentral.